Molecule: ribosomal RNA, 497 nt
Filed under: Panops jade
Lineage: Eukaryota; Metazoa; Arthropoda; Insecta; Diptera; Acroceridae
Description: partial 16S ribosomal RNA
Source: RNAcentral
ACAAAAACAUGUCUUAAUGGUUUAUUUAUAUUAAGUCUAACCUGCCCAAUGAUAUUUAUUUAAUGGCUGCAGUAAUUUAACUGUACAAAGGUAGCAUAAUCAUUAGUUUUUUAAUUGAGGACUAGAAUGAAAGGUUUUUCAAAAUAUUUACUUUAUUAUAAUAAUAAAUAUAAAUUUAUUUUUUAGUAAAAAAGCUAAGAUUUUUAUAUUAGACGAUAAGACCCUAUAGAUUUUUAUAAUUAGAUUAAUAAUUAUAAUAAGAAUUUUAUUUAGUUAUUUAAUUGAUUUAUUUUAUUGGGGUGAUAGUAAAAUUAGGUUAAUUUUUAUAUAAUUUAUACAUUAAUUUAUGAUUAUUUGAUCCAUAAUAAUGAUAAAAAAAUUAAAUUACCUUAGGGAUAACAGCAUAAUUUAUUUGAAGAGUUCGUAUCAAUAAAUAAGAUUAUGACCUCGAUGUUGGAUUAAGAAUAAUAUUAGGAGUAGAAAUUUAAUUAUUAAGU